GAUGAAGAACGGCAGCGAAAUGCGAUACGUAAUGUGAAUUGCAAAUUCAGUGAAUCAUCGAGUCUUUGAACGCACAUUGCGCCCCCUGGUAUUCCGGGGGGCAUGCCUGUCCGAGCGUCAUUGCUGCCCUCAAGCACGGCUUGUGUGUUGGGCCCCGUCCUCCGAUCCCGGGGGACGGGCCCGAAAGGCAGCGGCGGCACCGCGUCCGGUCCUCGAGCGUAUGGGGCUUUGUCACCCGCUCUGUAGGCCCGGCCGGCGCUUGCCGAUCAACCCAAAUUUUUAUCCAGGUUGACCUCGGAUCAGGUAGGGAUACCCGCUGAACUUAAGCAUAUCAAUAAGCGGAGGA
Molecule: unclassified non-coding RNA, 346 nt
Filed under: soil metagenome
Description: partial contains 5.8S ribosomal RNA, internal transcribed spacer 2, and large subunit ribosomal RNA
Rfam family: 5.8S ribosomal RNA (bases 1-120)
Source: RNAcentral